This is a transfer RNA of Felis catus (domestic cat), 85 nucleotides long. It matches the Rfam family "tRNA". From Rfam's summary of the family: Transfer RNA (tRNA) molecules are approximately 80 nucleotides in length. Their secondary structure includes four short double-helical elements and three loops (D, anti-codon, and T loops). Further hydrogen bonds mediate the characteristic L-shaped molecular structure. tRNAs have two regions of fundamental functional importance: the anti-codon, which is responsible for specific mRNA codon recognition, and the 3' end, to which the tRNAs corresponding amino acid is attached (by aminoacyl-tRNA synthetases). tRNAs cope with the degeneracy of the genetic code in two manners: having more than one tRNA (with a specific anti-codon) for a particular amino acid; and 'wobble' base-pairing, i.e. permitting non-standard base-pairing at the 3rd anti-codon position. NCBI's taxonomy places the organism in Eukaryota, Metazoa, Chordata, Mammalia, Carnivora, Felidae. The record is from Rfam.
GCCUGGGUGGCUCAGUCGGUUGAGCGUCUGACUUCAGCUCAGGUCAUGAUUUCGCGGUCCGUGAGUUCGAGCCCCGCUUCCGGCU